CUCAUCAUUGAUCUCUCUCUUUCCUCUCUGAAAUCAAUAAAAAAAUUAUUUUUGAAAAAGAAGGUAAAUAGCUUGAUCAAUGUCACACAGCUGGUAAGGGCAAGGCCAGGAUCCAAACCCAAUCCAUCUUCUUGCAAAGCCCGGACUUCCAAGGCGUAUUGCCUCGCUCAGCCGGGAGAAAUUAAAGAAGGCACCCUGGAUGCCCCAGUGCUCGCCCUCGUCAUGCAAAGAUUUCCAGAACUGCCCUGCUUGGACAUUCUGACCCCAAGCCCAGGACGCAGCGUGUCUGCCCAACUGGGAGCAUCCGAGAACCCACAGAGCCAGCCUCCGAACCCCAAAGCAGACGCAGGAAGGCAGAGCAGAGGGCCCAAGGCCAGCGUCUGCCUAGGGCUGUGAUCUGGGCUCAGGGUCUGCCCAUUAGCAAGUUGCAGGCACUGCCUGGGCCACCAUUGGUCCAGAGCCCUUCGUACACAGCCAAGCUCACGAGGGUGGCUCAGCCACUGCCACCCUGCGCCCCAGGUCCCCGAGAAACUGGAGGCUACCAACACCCUGGGGAUCACAUUCCCCGAAACCAGAGCUCCUGAGAGCGGCCUGGCGGGUCUGCUGAAAGCUGAGAGUCCUCCCCAGCCCUCCAGGGACACAGAGCUGGAGCAGCAGAAGCCAGGAGUGACGCUGACUUGGGUCCGGACACGCCUCCCUGCGGGACAUGCCUCCAGGCGGGACAUGCCUCCAUGCGACACGCCUCCAUGCGGGACAUGCCUCCAUGCGGGACACGCCCCCAUGCGGGGACAGAAACGUGACCAUCCUAAUGAGUUCUGAGAGGCCUCCAUGUUCCAAAAUGAGUUCUGACACGAUGGCUCCUUCCUCUUGGAAGAAACCACAGUGGGCAUAGCUGGCCGCUGCCCUUACACCUUCCUGGGCCUGUGGCCAAGUUCAAGCUGGAUCUUCUGCUCCAAGACCACAGACCCAGGUCCUGCCAUGACCGCCAAGGACUUGCCUGUCCUGGUCCCCCUCCCCGUGGCAGGGGAAGCCAGUGUCACUGUCUCUGUCUUCCUGGGCACUAGCAGGCUGGCGCGGUUGGACCCGGGACUGAGCACGGGCCGACAGAUGUGGGCAGAAGUAGCUCAUGCGGCGUUCAUGCACAAUCUCCCGCCUUUACUCUGUGGGGUCAAAGGUGAGCAGGCGCUGGAUCCCUGAGUCACCACGUGGAGGUUCUCCGGGCGUCUGGUCCACCUGAGCUGCUCCCGCACCCUCCCCGGACCUCCGUUCUCACAUCGAAAGAGUGAAUCCGAAGCGGGACUAGGAUGAGGUGAGCAGGGCCCUUGCCCCGGGCACAGAAUUUAAGGGGCGGCAAAAAAACAACACGGCAUCUCAGCAAUCAAGAUAAAGAAUCGUUUCAUGUCAUAAAGAUGGGUCAGCACCGGUGCUGUGAGGGGCCGUAUUGGAGUCCGCGGCAAAAGGAGAGCAGAAGAAAGCGAAGCCCCUGCUCAUCACGGGCUGCAUGAUGCUGGCUCUCCAGGAAGCUUCCAGGCCUCACUUCUCACACCGCACCCGACCCCACCCCGCCCCGGGUUCCGUGAUGUGAUGGAAAGGCCCGCGCUGGGAGCAGAGGCCUGAGUGCGCACGAAGCGGGGGGCUUGGGGCGUUCGCUCCGUCUCUGCUCAGCUGGACCUGGUUCUCACCAAGUUCCUUCCAGCGUGAAGUUUUACGGCUCCAAGACCCUCCUGGCGGCGCCCUGUCUGUAGCAGCAUCUGGAAAAGCAAGAAGACUCGGCGGCGGCAGCCCUGGAAGACCCCAGCAGACCCUCCUCCAAGC
Molecule: long non-coding RNA, 1815 nt
Organism: Myotis myotis
Lineage: Eukaryota; Metazoa; Chordata; Mammalia; Chiroptera; Vespertilionidae
Exons: 3
Source: RefSeq, a predicted model, not a curated record